CACACCGCCCGUCGCUACUACCGAUUGAAUGGCUCAGUGAGGCCAUCGGACUGGCCUGUGGAGGUUGGCAACGACCACCGCGGGCCGGAAAGUUGUACGAACUCGGUCAUUUAGAGGAAGUAAAAGUCGUAACAAGGUUGACCCUUCGCAUCCUGCGGAAGCCUUUGCAGCUGGAAACAGUGGCCGGGACGACUYUAAACAUUGCCGGCCUCAUGCAAGUCAGCGCUCGCUGGCGACACUCUCGAAUUGACGGGGAACUCCUAAAGCCCUUCGCACCAAGCCAGCCCGGGAAACCGGCUGGUGGCCCGUGGGAAACCACCGGGGUAUGGUAACAGAGGAGGGGAUGAUCCGGGGCCACGGCCCUGGGGAAAUGGACGAUCCGCAGCGAAGCCCCUACCGUCGUCCUCGGACGACCAUGGGGAACGUUCACAGACUAGGCGUGAGUGGGUAGGGCACCGGGUGCCCUGCUUAAGAUAUAGUCGGGCCGGGCGAGAAAUCGCUUGGGCGCCACCGUUCCGUAGGUGAACCUGCGGAAGGAUCAUUAACGCACAAAAUAAGACGCCUACCUGACAAAAGGGACUCGGCUGGAGAGAGGGCGUAGACCCGCCAGCCUUGGCCCGGUAGUGGCUGGACCCUUUGCCUAUGUAUACCCUUUGUUUCCUCGGCAGGCUUGCCUGCCGACGUUAACCACCAAAACCCUUUUAUAAAAAGUAACCAACUCUGAUAACCACCUAAUCGUUACAACUUUCAACAAUGGAUCUCUUGGUUCUGGCAUCGAUGAAGAACGCAGCGAAAUGCGAAAAGUAGUGUGAAUUGCAGAAUUCCGUGAAUCAUCGAAUCUUUGAACGCACAUUGCGCCCCUCGGUAUUCCGUGGGGCAUGCCUGUUCGAGCGUCAUUUACACCCUCAAGCACUGCUUGGUGUUGGGCGUCUGUCCUGCCUCUGCGCGUGGACUCGCCCCAAAGUCAUUGGCAGCGGUCGUGCCGGCUUCUCGCGCAGCACUUUUGCGCUUCUCGAAGUCCCGGUGGGCCGGCGUCCAGCAAGCCUUUCACGACUUGACCUCGGAUCAGGUAGGGAUACCCGCUGAACUUAAGCAUAUCAAUAAGCGGAGGAAAAGAAACCAACGGGGAUUGCCCUAGUAACGGCGAGUGAAGCGGCAACAGCUCAAAUUUGAAAUCUGGCUCCCUCUUUGGGGGUCCGAGUUGUAAUUUGCAGAGGGUGCUUUGGCGUUGGUGGCGGUCUAAGUUCCUUGGAACCGGACAUCGCAGAGGGUGAGAAUCCCGUAUGUGGUCGCCUGCCUUCGCCGUGUAAAGCCCCUUCGACGAGUCGAGUUGUUUGGGAAUGCAGCUCUAAAUGGGAGGUAAAUUUCUUCUAAAGCUAAAUACUGGCCAGAGACCGAUAGCGCACAAGUAGAGUGAUCGAAAGAUGAAAAGCACUUUGGAAAGAGAGUCAAAAAGCACGUGAAAUUGUUGAAAGGGAAGCGCUUGUCGCCAGACUUGCCCGCAGUUGCUCACCUGGGCUCCGGCCCGGGGCACUCUUCUGCGGGCAGGCCAGCAUCAGUUCGGGCGGUUGGAUAAAGGCCUCUGUCACGUAUCUUCCUUCGGGAUGACCUUAUAGGGGAGGCGACAUGCAACCAGCCCGGGCUGAGGUCCGCGCUUCGGCUAGGAUGCUGGCGUAAUGGCUGUAAGCGGCCCGUCUUGAAACACGGACCAAGGAGUCUAACAUCUAUGCGAGUGUUUGGGUGUCAAGCCCGAGCGCGCAAUGAAAGUGAACGCAGGUGGGAACCUUCGGGUGCACCAUCGACCGAUCCUGAAGUCUUCGGAUGGAUUUGAGUAUGAGCAUAGCUGUUGGGACCCGAAAGAUGGUGAACUAUGCUUGAAUAGGGUGAAGCCAGAGGAAACUCUGGUGGAGGCUCGCAGCGGUUCUGACGUGCAAAUCGAUCGUCAAAUUUGGGCAUAGGGGCGAAAGACUAAUCG
RNAcentral lists this ribosomal RNA (1975 nucleotides) under Pseudosplanchnonema phorcioides. Its description in RNAcentral is "eukaryotic LSU rRNA". Lineage: Eukaryota; Fungi; Ascomycota; Dothideomycetes; Pleosporales; Massarinaceae. The record is from RNAcentral.